UUUUUUAAAGCUCUUUUUGAUGACGUGACUAAGGCAAACUAGAUUACAGAUGACUAACCAUAUUUUAGUGAUAUUAGAGUCCACUUGAGAUCAUAAAUACAUCAGAGAUUCUGCUCUUGAACCUUACUAUUAGAAUACUAAAACUGGUUUGGCAAAUUUUCAUAUGCCAGUAACUGAAUGUAGAUAGUGAAAAGCCUUUAUUAUACUUUUUUUUUUAAACCAUGUAUAAACUUUUCAAUGUCUGCUUUUUAUGCUUAUGUUUUCUUAUAUAGCACAUAACACCAACAGAUGCUAUUAACUUUGCAUACAAAGAGGUAAUAUGAAAUUGAAAUAAGUUUUAACUGUUGCUCUGUUCUUUUUAGCUUACUUUACCCAGAGCUCUUCUAUCCAGUGAGUUGCAAGCGUGACAUUUGCUGUGUUUUCAGCACCUGCCAACUUGGAAACCAGGGUUUGUGCUCAGGACGUAGGCUUACAACCCAUACUUUGUGGUACACAAUGCUGUCCCAGCUGGCAUGCUUUGGUACCUCAAUGGUGCUAGACAUUCAGUUACAAAGCUUUGCGGCUUCACAUGCUCUGCUUUCAACUCUUAUUUUGUAUCAAAGGAGUGAGAUUGGUAUCAUUAAAUUCACCGUGGUGGUGAUUUUUCAAUGAAAAUAAAUUUGCUUUUUUAGUUCUUGGAUCAAAA
RNAcentral lists this long non-coding RNA (685 nucleotides) under Marmota monax (woodchuck). The record is from RNAcentral. Lineage: Eukaryota; Metazoa; Chordata; Mammalia; Rodentia; Sciuridae.